UCCGUUCGGCGGUCUGUCGGCGUGCCCGAAUCCGACCAAAUAGGCGGAGCUCGAGGCGUGAUAGUUUUUGUAAUAUACUGAAUCUGGGUCUAUUGACAAGUUCAAGGGUUGGAAUGGCUUUUGGAACUGAUCUACGACGUUUGAUAGACCUUAGAAAGGUUUUGACAAGUUACUGAAGUGAGAAAGUAACUGGAAUUGAAAAAUUGCAUCGUAAAUGCAUUAUCAAUUGCAACGCUUCGAAUUUGGUCAAUUACGAAGUUCGAAUGUGAAAAAUGG
This 276-nucleotide long non-coding RNA is filed under the name Ananas comosus (pineapple). RNAcentral describes it as "long non-coding RNA (ACOM_LNC032737)". The record is from RNAcentral. Lineage: Eukaryota; Viridiplantae; Streptophyta; Magnoliopsida; Poales; Bromeliaceae.